This 29-nucleotide non-coding RNA is filed under the name Mus musculus (house mouse). Lineage: Eukaryota; Metazoa; Chordata; Mammalia; Rodentia; Muridae. The record is from RNAcentral.
UCUAUGGCAUGAUGGUUCUGUAAGCACUA